RNAcentral lists this ribosomal RNA (259 nucleotides) under uncultured prokaryote. RNAcentral describes it as "partial 16S ribosomal RNA". It matches the Rfam family "Bacterial small subunit ribosomal RNA", at positions 524 to 782 of the family's 1533-position model. The record is from RNAcentral.
UACGUAGGUGGCAAGCGUUAUCCGGAAUUAUUGGGCGUAAAGAGCGCGCAGGUGGUUGAUUAAGUCUGAUGUGAAAGCCCACGGCUUAACCGUGGAGGGUCAUUGGAAACUGAUCGACUUGAGUGCAGAAGAGGGAAGUGGAAUUCCAUGUGUAGCGGUGAAAUGCGUAGAGAUAUGGAGGAACACCAGUGGCGAAGGCGGCUUCCUGGUCUGUAACUGACACUGAGGCGCGAAAGCGUGGGGAGCAAACAGGAUUAGA